AGGAGUUUGAUCCUGGGCUCAGGAUGAACGCUGGCGGCGUGCCUAAUACGAUGCAAGUCGUAGCGGAAAGGCCACUUCGGUGGUACUCGAGCGGCGGACGGCAGAGUAACGCGUAGGAACAUACCCCAAACUGAGGCAUAACUGCUCGAAAGAGCAGCUAAUACCGCAUGUGAUCUUCGGAUUAAAGCUUCGGCGGUUUGGGAAUGGCCUGCGUCCGAUUAGCUAGUUGGUGAGGUAAAAUGCUCACCAAGGGCUUCGAUCGGUAGCUGGUCUGAGAGGAUGAUCAGCCUGACUGGAACUGAGAACGGUCCAGACUCCUACGGGAGGCAGCAGUAGGGAAUUUUCCACAAUGGGCGAAAGCCUGAUGGAGCAACGCCGCGUGCAGGAUGAAUGCCUUCGGGUUGUAAACUGCUUUUAUUAGUGAAGAAUAUGACGGUAACUAAUGAAUAAGGGUCGGCUAACUACGUG
This 468-nucleotide ribosomal RNA is filed under the name uncultured bacterium. Its description in RNAcentral is "bacterial SSU rRNA". It matches the Rfam family "Bacterial small subunit ribosomal RNA", at positions 1 to 507 of the family's 1533-position model. The record is from RNAcentral.